GGAAAUCCAACCUUGGAACUGCAUAGAGUCGCUCCUUCCCUAUUCAACUGCAGGUGACAAAGGGAAGGAAUCAGCCCUAGGUCUUUAUGAAGUCACCAAGGAACAUUAGAUACAGGGAGCAGGGAAGGAGUGCCACCAGAUCUACUUGAAAAGGCUCUUCCCUGACGUCCGUUCUAAUUCUUCCAGAAACAAAACAGCUGUUUUCCCAGCAUACCACUGCCUGUCAGUCAAGCAACCAUUACCUCCUUUAAAUGAGUGAGCAAGACAGUCCAAGACAACACGGAAAAUGGUAACACAGCGAUCAGACACUGUGGUGUCAAUGCUCAGAGUGAACUGAGAUGAUGAGCCCGGAGAGCAUCGGGAAAGGACGCCAGGGUCUCCACAGUGUAAAAAUGAGGACAUGCAUCACAAGGAGGAAAAAUAAAGACCACCACAGCAGACAUGAGAAGGCAGCUUGCAUGUGGGAAUAGGCCAGAAUAUAAGCUACCAGAGCAGUGUCUGGAUCCAGAACAUACGAAAUAACUGUCUGCGGCGGAACAGAUGAAUACAUGGUUGAGUUCUUGGAUGGCCUGGGGCUGGAAAAACAGCUCUUGCAGAAGACCUGGGUUUGGUUCCCAGCACUAGACACGCCUUGGUGCACAGACAUACA
Molecule: long non-coding RNA, 649 nt
Organism: Mesocricetus auratus (golden hamster)
Lineage: Eukaryota; Metazoa; Chordata; Mammalia; Rodentia; Cricetidae
Exons: 3
Source: RefSeq, a predicted model, not a curated record